UUAAGUCAUUAAAUUUAUAAAAUUUGGCGGUAUUUUUUAAAAUUAGAGGAAUCUGUAAAUUAAUUGAUGAUCCACGAUAAGAAAUACUUAAUUAUUUAUGUAUUGCUGUUUUAAAAAUUUUAUUAAGUAGAAUUUUUGAAUUAAAAUUUAAUUUAAUUCAAGUCAAAAUAUAGUUUAUUUGAGUUAUGGAUUACAAUUUAAAUUUAAAAUUGGAUUUAAUAGUAA
RNAcentral lists this ribosomal RNA (225 nucleotides) under Polistes subsericeus. Its description in RNAcentral is "partial small subunit ribosomal RNA". Lineage: Eukaryota; Metazoa; Arthropoda; Insecta; Hymenoptera; Vespidae. The record is from RNAcentral.